RNAcentral lists this ribosomal RNA (532 nucleotides) under uncultured bacterium. RNAcentral's name for it is "bacterial SSU rRNA". It matches the Rfam family "Bacterial small subunit ribosomal RNA", at positions 777 to 1311 of the family's 1533-position model. The record is from RNAcentral.
AAUAGAUACCCAGGUAGUCCACGCCGUAAACGAUGGAUACUAGCUGUUCGUCCGCCUCGGCGGAUGAGUGGCUAAGCGAAAGUGAUAAGUAUCCCACCUGGGGAGUACGAACGCAAGUUUGAAACUCAAAGGAAUUGACGGGGGCCCGCACAAGCGGUGGAGCAUGUGGUUUAAUUCGAUGAUACGCGAGGAACCUUACCAAGGCUUAAAUGUAGAUUGACAGGACUGGAAACAGUUUUUUCUUCGGACAAUUUACAAGGUGCUGCAUGGUUGUCGUCAGCUCGUGCCGUGAGGUGUCAGGUUAAGUCCUAUAACGAGCGCAACCCCUGUUGUUAGUUGCCAGCGAGUCAAGUCGGGAACUCUAACAAGACUGCCAGUGUAAACUGUGAGGAAGGUGGGGAUGACGUCAAAUCAUCACGGCCCUUACGCCUUGGGCUACACACGUGCUACAAUGGCCGGUACAGAGAGCAGCCACUGCGCGAGCAGGAGCGAAUCUAUAAAACCGGUCACAGUUCGGAUCGGAGUCUGCAAC